This 822-nucleotide unclassified non-coding RNA is filed under the name Daphnia magna. Its description in RNAcentral is "protein MON2 homolog, transcript variant X2". Lineage: Eukaryota; Metazoa; Arthropoda; Branchiopoda; Diplostraca; Daphniidae. The record is from RNAcentral.
CCUACCCCCGAAAUCUCAGCAGCCGUCGUCGCAUUUGAACCGGCAAUUGUUUUUUUUUCCUCGUUUGUUGUCAUUUUCGUUUUUAAUGGCGGCCUGCUGUCAUUUAAAAUGAAUAAAUAUAUUACUUUUAGAAAAUGGCCGACCUCUCGUGAAGAGAACGAUGGAAUUUAUAGAUUCGUCUGGGAAACUUGUCGAGAAAGCUUUUUUGCUUUUUUAGAUAAACUGACACGAGAGUUUGGUACCUUCUCAAACAGGCAUAAUUUCAAUCUAAUUAAUUGUAUCUGAGAUUUUUUUACCAGAUUUUUUUACUAACAGAGAGCCCUCACUUUUUGCCGUAGCAAAACUGUUGGCAACUGGUCUUGUAAAUCUGAACAGGGUAGAAGUUCUUUGGAGUCCUGUAACAAAUCACCUGCUUGAAGUCAUCGUCCACCCACUUAACCGCUUGAGAGAAUGGGGAAUAGAUGUCAUUACUACGUUAGUUAGAUCAGUAAUUCAAUAUGAUUAUUAUACCCCUUUAAAAGAAAACCAGAGAUUGCAGACGUUGUUAAUAUCACCAUUAAAUGAGCUGUCUAGUACCAGUUUUGCAGACGUGAAUCAAAAGCAAGUUGAUUGUGUGCUCCAUUUGCUGCACAGCUCUGGUGACAUAAUCUCUUUUGGAUGGCCCUUGUUUCUUAAUAUCAUAGGAGCUAUCAACAAUUCUCAAGGGUAACAAUCAAAGUAUUUAUCAUGUUAUACCAAUUACUUUAUCACAUUAUUUUUUUUUAUUUAGUAAAUUGUCUUUAAAGUAACUGAAACAAUUUAUAUAGUUGAAUGUGUGUUGUG